This is a long non-coding RNA of Pseudoliparis swirei, 1468 nucleotides long. RefSeq lists it as uncharacterized. Lineage: Eukaryota; Metazoa; Chordata; Actinopteri; Perciformes; Liparidae. The record is from RefSeq and is a predicted model, not a curated record. The transcript has 3 exons.
AGUUCACACAUUUCGAUGCUUCACCGAGGGGUUUGCGAGGAGAGCGCAGCGCUCUUAAUGAGCUCCUUCCAUCAAACUCGCAUCCCUCCUGUCGCCUCGUGUCCAUUCACAUUUGUCACCGAUGCAACCGGCUCUGAGUUCCUCUCAGAUGCCGUGCAGGCGGACAAAUGAAUGGUACUCCGAUGUGAGGACGGCGUUUAAGCGCUUGUCUCUUAGCGGUGCGUUUGUGGAUGAUUGACUCGGAUCUUAAGACGGUUGCACAACCGUUUACCUUCUCAACUUUCAUCCAGUCAUGAACUCGCACUUUCUCUUUUUUCUCUCUUUGUUUGUCUCCGCUCAGAUCUAUAGUAAGUCCAUGUGUGUGUGCUUGAGAGUCGAGGCAUGUGUACUGUGAACAAUGUGCUUAUGAUGGUGAUGAUGAUGGUAAAGCUAAUGAUUAAUGACCACUGAGGUUUGUGUCCUCCGCUCCACUUUCUCUCACUGUAGCACCUUGACCCUUUCGUUCACCAUCCCCACUAUUCAUUCAGCCAGCUGUUUCACUGAGGCCACUCAAAUGAUCUGCGCCUCGGUACGAGCCCGGUCGCUACAGGAGGUGUCGCAGGACCGAGGGGAUAAAUCAUCCCCCAGAGCAGGAGCUGUUGCAGGCCUGGACGCACAUACACCACCCGAGAUUUACGCCGCACAUCGAAGCACAGCCCCACAAUCUGGACCCUCUCCACCAGAAGCUCAUUAAGACUACACGGCGAUUAGUGAUUACAUCACAUGAUUUGUGAGAGCCGAGGAGCUCAUGGGUUGUUGAGCAUGUCCCCUGGUCAGACGUAAGGACAGUUGAGGUAUGAAUCCAGCCACAACGGCCUUUUAUUUCUGCUGGUCUCUGUCUGGCCCGUAGACGGGGAGCGGGGAAUCUGGAUGGACAGCGCUGCCCCCUCGAGUCAAUAGCAGCCAGCAGGUUAGGCUCGCUCUCCGUCUGCUGCGUGGCAGACACUCAUUAGUGGUAAUGUACUCCCAUCAUCCAUCUCCAGGUGGGCUUCCGUCAUUGAUCUCAAGGCCAAGACCUGUCACGAGCUGCACCUCGCCGAAUGAAAGCGCUGGUCGCCGCCAGCUCUGGCUUUAGGUGACCGAGCUCGAUGUUCUGUCGAUAGACUCUGGACAGCCGGUAUUAGAGCAGCGAGGUGACACGCACAGCAGUGUGAGAUGUUUUUCCUCACAAUGCUCUCCAGUACACAAUGAGCCACAGAGGUUCACAAGACUAUGAUCAGAUGACAUCACCAAAUGGGAAGAUUUGCAUCUCUAUUCUCUUUUAAAUGAGCAUGGACUCUUGUAAUACAGUGAAAUAGGAAAAUACUAGUAAUACUAGUUCAUUAAUUAAUACACAAUAUGACAUCGGCCAAUCAAAUGUAUCAAUCGUAUUUCUGUUGACCAUCGUCGUGACAAAAGAUAACAUAGUUUCUGUCGUGAAAACCUUCCA